AGCAUUUCCUUUAAAAAAAAAUUUAAUGCGACCAUAUCCUGGAUUGCAUCUGCCACCCGAUCGUGAAAAUUUUAAUAAGCGCCUUUCAAGAGCUCGGCGUGUUAUUGAAAACGCCUUCGGAAUUAUGACAGCACGAUGGAGGAUUUUGCUAUCCCCAUUGCAAAUGCAACCAUCAAGCGCGGAGAGCAUCGUGAAAGCAACAGCGCUGCUACAUCAUUUUUUAAAGCUAAACGAUGGCAGUUAUUGCCCACCUGAAUAUGUUCAUCGAUAUGAAGGAGACAAUGUAUUAAAUGCAUUAUGGCGCCAAGAAAUCUCAACACCCCUACGAGGAACUGGUCGAUCAAUGUCAAACAACGCUACAAGAAGUGCUUUCAUGUUGAGAGAUCAAUUGAAAGAUUAUGUAGCCACGCAUCCUAUUAAUUAAAUACACACCUAUUCAAUGAAGUCACUCACAUAACAUGUAGUUGCAUACAAUAGAAGUAUUAGUCAUUGCGAAUAUCAUGAGCUUCCUGGACAAUCAAAAUAUGCUAUCCUUAGAAACUGCGGAUAGGUUGGCGCGUAUGUCACAUGAAACUGGCGAUGGCAAGGCAUUGGUGCAUCAACUUCAAGUUAAUUAAAUUCACCAGAUCAUACAGGCACGCUUAGUCGAAAACAUUGUUUACAAAUACAAGUGAGAUAUCUUAGCAAUAGACGUCACCCUGGGCCACAGCUGCGAUCAUCUGUUUUUUAGAGUUGCUUAUUUUGGUCUAAACUGCGCUUUUUUGACCUGAGUUGCAUUAAAUAGUCUCUUAAAACUUGGUAGUAUUUGUUGUUCAAAUGGUAACAUAUAUGUCCAAAACUCAUGGUGAAAUGAACUGAAGGUGGCACAUUCCCGAAACCGCUACUUUGGUUUUGCCGACUUUGACA
Long non-coding RNA from Rhagoletis zephyria (snowberry fruit fly), 906 nucleotides. RefSeq lists it as uncharacterized. The record is from RefSeq and is a predicted model, not a curated record. NCBI's taxonomy places the organism in Eukaryota, Metazoa, Arthropoda, Insecta, Diptera, Tephritidae.